Molecule: ribosomal RNA, 239 nt
Filed under: uncultured Enterobacterales bacterium
Lineage: Bacteria; Pseudomonadati; Pseudomonadota; Gammaproteobacteria; Enterobacterales
Description: partial 16S ribosomal RNA
Rfam family: Bacterial small subunit ribosomal RNA
Source: RNAcentral
CGAGUGGCGGACGGGUGAGUAAUGUCUGGGAAACUGCCCGAUGGAGGGGGAUAACUACUGGAAACGGUAGCUAAUACCGCAUAACGUCUCAAGACCAAAGAGGGGGACCUUCGGGCCUCUUGCCAUCGGAUGUGCCCAGAUGGGAUUAGCUAGUAGGUGGGGUAACGGCUCACCUAGGCGACGAUCCCUAGCUGGUCUGAGAGGAUGACCAGCCACACUGGAACUGAGACACGGUCCAG